GUGAGGCGCGCCUAGGGUUCCGCCGCGUUGCGACGCGGGUCUGGUCCGAGAGGCGCAGGCGGACUGCGGCGUCCGUUCCACGGCGGGAGAAAAGCCCGGGAGAC
Molecule: small RNA, 104 nt
Filed under: Mycolicibacterium rutilum
Lineage: Bacteria; Bacillati; Actinomycetota; Actinomycetes; Mycobacteriales; Mycobacteriaceae
Description: Mycobacterium rutilum Guanidine-I sequence
Rfam family: Guanidine-I riboswitch aptamer
About the family: This family represents a conserved RNA structure found upstream of the ykkC and yxkD genes in Bacillus subtilis and related genes in other bacteria. The function of this family is unclear although it has been suggested that it may function to switch on efflux pumps and detoxification systems in response to harmful environmental molecules. Nelson showed that this riboswitch senses and responds to guanidine and it was renamed Guanidine-I riboswitch.
Source: RNAcentral